ACGCUGUCGGCGUGCUUAACACAUGCAAGUCGAGCGGUAAGGCCCUUCGGGGUACACGAGCGGCGAACGGGUGAGUAACACGUGGGUGAUCUGCCUUGCACUCUGGGAUAAGCCUGGGAAACUGGGUCUAAUACCGGAUAUGACCUUUGGUUGCAUGACCGGGGGUGGAAAGAUUUAUCGGUACAAGAUGAGCCCGCGGCCUAUCAGCUUGUUGGUGGGGUAAUGGCAUACCAUGGCGAAGACGGGUAGCCGGCAUGAGAGGGCGACCGGCCACCAUGGUCCUGAGACACGCCCCAGACUCGUACGGGAGGCAGCAGUGGGGAAUAUUGCACAAUGGGCGGAAGCCUGAUGCAGAGACGCCGGGUGAGGGAUGACGGCCUUCGGGUUGUAAACCUCUUUCGACUCAGACGAAGCGAGAGUGACGGUAGGAGUAUAAGAAGCACCGGCCAACUACGUGCCAGCAGCCGCGGUAAUACGUAGGGUGCGAGCGUUGUCCGGAAUUACUGGGCGUAAAGAGCGUGUAGGCGGCUUGUCGCGUCGAUGGUGAAAACUCGGGGCUCAACCCCGAGCUUGCCGUCGAUACGGGCAGGCUUGAGUACUUCAGGGGAGACUGGAAUUCCUGGUGUAGCGGUGAAAUGCGCAGAUAUCAGGAGGAACACCGAUGGCGAAGGCGGGUCUCUGGGAAGUAACUGACGCUGAGAAGCGAAAGCGUGGGUAGCGAACAGGAUUAGAUACCCUGGUAGUCCACGCCGUAAACGGUGGGUACUAGGUGUGGGUUUCCUUCCACGGGAUCCGUGCCGUAACUAACGCAUUAAGUACCCCGCCUGGGGAGUACGGCCGCAAGGCUAAAACUCAAAGGAAUUGACGGGGGCCCGCACAAGCGGCGGAGCAUGUGGAUUAAUUCGAUGCACGCGAAGAACCUUACCUGGGUUUGACAUACACCGGAAACCUGCAAAAAUGUAGGCCCCCUUGUGGUCGGUGUACAGGUGGUGCAUGGCUGUCGUCAGCUCGUGUCGUGAGAUGUUGGGUUAAGUCCCGCAACGAGCGCAACCCUUAUCUUAUGUUGCCAGCGCGUAAUGGCGGGGACUCGUGAGAGACUGCCGGGGUCAACUCGAAGGAAGGUGGGGACGACAUCAAGUCAUCAUGCCCCUUAUGUCCAGGGCUUCACACAUGCUACAAUGGCCGGUACAGAGGGCUGCGAUACCGUGAGGUGGAGCGAAUCCCUUAAAGCCGGUCUCAUUCGGAUCGGGGUCUGCAACUCGACCCCGUGAAUUUGGAGUCGCUAUUAAUCACAAAUCUGCAACGCUGCAGUGAAUACGUUCCCGGGCCUUGUACACACCGCCCGUCACAUCAUGAAAGUCGGUAACACCCUAAUCCGGUGGCCUAACCCUUGUGGACGGAGCCGUCGAAGGUGGGAUCGGCGAUUGAGACGAAAGUCGAUGACCAAGGUA
Molecule: ribosomal RNA, 1451 nt
Filed under: Nocardia sp.
Lineage: Bacteria; Bacillati; Actinomycetota; Actinomycetes; Mycobacteriales; Nocardiaceae
Description: bacterial SSU rRNA
Rfam family: Bacterial small subunit ribosomal RNA
Source: RNAcentral